CCUACGGGGUGCAGCAGUGAGGAAUAUUGGUCAAUGGACGAGAGUCUGAACCAGCCAAGUAGCGUGAAGGAUGACUGCCCUAUGGGUUGUAAACUUCUUUUAUAUGGGAAUAAACUGUUCCACGUGUGGGAUUUUGUAUGUACCAUAUGAAUAAGGAUCGGCUAACUCCGUGCCAGCAGCCGCGGUAAUACGGAGGAUCCGAGCGUUAUCCGGAUUUAUUGGGUUUAAAGGGAGCGUAGGUGGAUUGUUAAGUCAGUUGUGAAAGUUUGCGGCUCAACCGUAAAAUUGCAGUUGAAAAUGGCAGUCUUGAGUACAGUAGAGGUGGGCGGAAUUCGUGGUGUAGCGGUGAAAUGCUUAGAUAUCACGAAGAACUCCGAUUGCGAAGGCAGUUCACUGGACUGCAACUGACACUGAGGCUCGAAAGUGUGGGUAUCAAACAGGAUUAGAUACCCCUGUAGUC
This 460-nucleotide ribosomal RNA is filed under the name uncultured bacterium. RNAcentral's name for it is "partial 16S ribosomal RNA". It matches the Rfam family "Bacterial small subunit ribosomal RNA", at positions 338 to 795 of the family's 1533-position model. The record is from RNAcentral.